AAGAAGAGAUAAAGGAAACAAAAAAAAGGAAAAGGAAUAACGGUCAAAUGACCGAAUUUCAAAAAAAAAUAAAAAUAAUCGACAACGGCCGAAUUUUUUGAAAAUUUCGGUUUUUUUUUCAAAAAAAACAAAAAUAAAUUGGUGCGUGUUGAGUACGCGCGCACGCCAACAACCAUCAGGCCAAGCCUGAUAGAACAGGUUAGCCUCGAGCCCCCCA
RNAcentral lists this long non-coding RNA (217 nucleotides) under Salvia miltiorrhiza (redroot sage). RNAcentral's name for it is "long non-coding RNA (SMIL_LNC014155)". The record is from RNAcentral. Lineage: Eukaryota; Viridiplantae; Streptophyta; Magnoliopsida; Lamiales; Lamiaceae.